Non-coding RNA from Meleagris gallopavo (turkey), 5296 nucleotides. The record is from RefSeq and is a predicted model, not a curated record. NCBI's taxonomy places the organism in Eukaryota, Metazoa, Chordata, Aves, Galliformes, Phasianidae.
ACAGGUGAAGGCAGUGCAGCUGUGUGACCAGAAGGAGUGGAGCCUGGCUGCACCUCUCUUAGACCUCAUUUAAGGACUGGCUGCCAACAGGGAAAGAUCUGUUCCCGGAGUUCUCUCCUUGAUGGAGCUUUCCCUUGUGAACAUGGAAUUUUCUGAUAUGGAUGCAGCUCAUACGUCUGGCACCUGGAAGGAGUGUUAUUUAUCUCACAGAUCAAUUGCCUUAGCACCAUGCCACCUGUGCCACACCUCUCUCCAGUCCACAGAAGUCCUUGGAAACUGCUCAAGAUUGGAUGCAUCUGUGAUGCAGAUGGAAGAGGUUGCAUGUGGCACGAAGCAUGCUCUGCACUAGGUGGUGCUCAUGGAAACUACAGUCUCCUUCAUACUCCAGAAAAUUUACACUCAUUGUCUUAAAAAUAAGAGAAGUACAAAGACAUUUUGGGACAUGCAGGAUGGAGAUUUCUUAGAUUGUGAAGGGACUCUUUUGAGGAAGGGAUUCUCAAACAUGAGGCACAUUCUGUUGAAAGUGACUUAUUUUGACAUUCAUGUAAUCUUUUAGCACAAAUACACCUGUUUCUAAAAGUCUGAAACCCCUUGCAGCAAGGUCCUGUACCUCAGCCAGAAUUUCUGGUUUCCCAGUAAAAAUCUCUCAACCGUCACAACCACUCAGAACGUCAGACUUGCUAUGUCUUACCUAAAGAAAAUUGAAAGAAUUUUCAAAAACAGGUAUUUCUUCGCGAGCGCCAUUGUAAGUUUACAUGUUAGAAUCCAUGAUUUUUUCAAGUCUGAAUACAGCAUCGUCUUUUAAGAACUUUGUUCAUCAUGUGCAAAUGUGAUUGCAUCCAGCUAGUCUUUUAAGUACAUAGUGAGACUUGUAAAUAAAAACACUACUAUUCAGCUAUGUGCUAAGCACUCUUCUCUUCCACUGCAAUCAGUGCAAGCUUAAACAAUUAUUAAUAGUGAAGACAGUUUCUUUAAUUUAGGUACCUCAUAUAGUUUCCUACAAAUAUCAGCAUCCAGGUUUUAAAACUGGCUGUAACCACCUGGGUCCCCAGAGGUGACCCUUGAAAUCUUUAAUGAUGAGGAAGUGGCUCAAGUUAUCUUGAUGCUUCCCAGAUAAUGUGUAGACAAAGAAUGUCUGCAUUAUUCCUUUUCAGUCUGAAGUCCACAGAUCUACUACUAGAGAGGGAGCCUGGGAAACAAUGACCUCCUUGUCAGAGAUGCUGGUUUCAGUUGGGAACAGUCACUUGGCCUGUUUAGUUAAUAAGCCCCAGAAGCCUCCUGAAUUAGAAAGAGCAAAUGAUAUUAGUUUAGAAGGUCAGAGGGUUAACAAUGAAGCAGCAGUUGUACUCAAGGUUGUUUUCUAAGCAAAGUUUAGCAGUACAAAACAAAGAUGGGAGGGAAGGAUGGGUACAAGUUAGAACACUUAUGCUUACAUCUUACUGGACUUUGUCUUCUGACAUAAACAGAUGUAUCUUCACUGGAACAGUUCCUUAUACUGGUACGAUUAGCUCCAAACCCUUAGACUUAUGACUGUUUUGAGGUAGGCUGAUGGAAAACCUUUGAUAACACAUUUGGAAUUCUAAAUUGAAUUAACAGAUGAGAUUCCUGUUUCCUGGUUCUAAUUUAUGUGGAAUGCUAAUUUUUUUUUUUUUGUCUGCCAGAUGUAGUAAAAAGCUUUUGAAUUUAACAUAUACACAAAGGUCAGAGCAGCAGAGUAAAAUCUGGGAUUGUGCAAAUGUUAGGGCCCCUAUAGCUUCAGGACAUGGCCCUGUUGGGAGUUCAGACCAGACCUAAAUGGAAAUAUGCUCCUUUGAAUUCACUCAUUCUUCUUCUGGACAUUCAGAUAAAGACUAACAUGGUCCUCUAUCCCUAGAGACAAAGAUCCUUUAAGAGACUCCAAUAUCUAAGAUAAUCCAUGCACCAGUUUGGUCCAUCUGCCUGACUAAAUCUUAAUAGACCUGAGUCAUCUUUAGAGAGGAACUGACAGAGUUUGAUUGCUUUCAUAUUGACAGCUACAGCUUUACUAAUACCUUUUGUUAAGGAAAAGAGAACUACAGAGCUUCUGAAAGCCUCUGUGAACAUCACUGAUUUCUAAUGCAAUGAUAACUUCUUUAUGAGAGAACAACAACUUCUCAGCAUCAGUGAUGAUGGGGAGUAUUUGCAGUCUAACGACCAAACUUCAACAAUGUCACAAGCUGAAAUACAUCAAGGCUACAUAACAUGUAGAGCACUGCUCUCACUUCCCUAUCCUCGCUCAGUUAUUUCUUGUGGCCACAUACAGAAAGUACCUCAACAUAGCUCAACAGGGAGGCAGGGUUUUCAGAGUUGCUUUGUCAGUAUCUCUACCUAUUUCCUGACUCAAGCGCACAUUCAGAGACUUCUGUUUGAAACACCGUAUGAGUUUUUAUUUAAAAGGGAAACAGCAACCUUGUUCCUGACUGUGGUGCACGCAUACAGAACCUUACUUGAUUUGAAGAAGGCUUGAUUUUCUUUCUUAGAGAGUAAUGCAGGCCAGUAUGACCCCACCUGGUGAGCCCAGGAGACAGAUUUGGCUUCAGAGCACUCCUGUACAUCAGUCUGUGCAAACAGCAGCCUCUGAUCCUCUGCUCCACUAGCCUAGUCUCUUCCUUAGGUUGCCUGUGAGCAGGUAAUAAUGAUUUUACUGCUUAAGGAGAUCUUCAUAAUCUUUUUUGCAGUGAAUGUGCUUGUCUGGACAGAAGCAUUCCCAAAACAUCAUUUGAAACAGGCUGAAAUCCCAUGAGUAUUUCAGCUUGGAAUUAGUGGGUAUUCUUUCCACUGUUAAUGAGAGUGCAGUAGAAUAUACAAGACAUACAAGACACCAUUGAAUACAUUCGUAUUACAUUUCACCUUUUGUCAUGCUGGAGGCCCACGCUAAAUUAAUUUGGCAGAUAAAUUUACGAUGGCAAUUUGCCUUCCAGUUGUAUAAUUUAUUCAUGUCAGAAAUAAUUUAUUAUACUCUUCUUUAAGCCUUUCUUUUUUGGGGGUACCACCUUAGUAAAAAAAAUUUAUUGUUUACCCUGAGCUUUGUAUGGCUUCACAGUGGUCAGUCAAUAACCUCAAGGGGAUAGUUUUGGUCACAUUACUGGUCACUUAUUUGGAUGGAUGAUGGAGUGCCCUGGUCCCAUCUGUACAUAUAUUACUUUCUUUUGUCUUAGUGACACUGUUGGAGAGAUUAAUUAGGUCCAUCUGCAGGGGAAGAUCAGCCUUGGGGGAUUCAGGUGAAUAAAAUAAAUGCCAAGGGGAAAAAACUGCUGACAGGGGCGUUUUGGAAAUCAACCUGUUUUCCAUAGCAUGAAUGAGGAAAUUACAUAAAGAAGGGUCUUGAAAGAACGGUGUAACUACCAUUUAUUUGGUUACUUCAGCAUGACCUGAUACAUAUCUGCUACUGCUGCUGUAGGAAAGAAUUUAUGAUGAGGGUUGAAGUCCACAGACAAUAUUCCCAGCUAUGUAAAUCAGUAUAGCUUUCAGAUCUUAGUGGAGCUGCCCUCGCUUUAUGAUGGUACAGAUUUGAGUUAUUUCUGACAUAGUGAUAUUCUCUGCUCUUCAUUUGUGUGAUCCAAGAUGUGAAGUAAGCUAAUCAGAAUUCCUAGUCUGUCUCCUCUCUUUUUAUUCUAACUAUACUCGUUGUGGCUCUUGCACCCCAUCUCUAUUUUUGUCCUUUCUCUUGACUUCCUUUAUGCUGCUUUUCAUAUUUUUUCCUUGUCUCUUUCCUCUCCCUUAAAAAUAAUAAUAAUAACCUAAUAGCAUUGAUCUAACUGAUAUGAUCAGAGCUUAUAAAAUAGAAUCUCACCCCUUACUGACUUGAAUAUUCUUAUUAUAUGUGUAAUUAAUUCGUGUAACUGGUACAUAAGCCAUUUGAAAUUUAUUGCAAUUUAAAUUCUCUCUUUCUGUUGCCAUAUCAGUCUAAGAGAGGACUCAUAUACCACAGUGCAGUGGGAUUACAAUCCCAAUAUUUUCAUACAAUAGAAAAGAAAAAAAAAUACCCACAUGUUUUACUCACUGAAAGUUCACUGUCUUAAGGACCUGGAAUGUAAGAGUUGUUCUGCUUUUAAACUUCUGUUGGAGUGAAGUGAGGUACUUUAUGAGAUUGCAGUUCAACUCCUGCUGACUUUUUAAAUGAAUUGGUAAACGCAGAAGAACGAGGAAAUAUAUUUUUGAAACAGAAUGGGAAAACAAACUAUAUAAAAAGAAAGAGAAGAUGCAUGCAGGAAGGAUAAUGUGGAAGAAUGUAGGUGAUGAAUUCAAUUACUUCAUAUAUAUAUAUGUAUAUAUAUAUAAUAUGAAGAACUUUUGGUGGCAAGGAAAAUAUUUGCUCUGGAAAUACGUGGUCCUGCCUCCAGCCCUGCGCUAGCAGCAGUGACCCUGAGUCUCAGAGGCACAGUUCUGUGUGUGCUUGAAUUUUGGGGUCUGAUUCUAAAGAGCUGCUGAGCCCAGUCUGUAGCACUAGAAGGAAAGCUGCUCUAUGUGUAAUAAGGUGUAAACAUGUGCAUAUUGUCAGACAACACCAGUUAGACACCCAAGAAUGUACUGUAUAGGUGAGUUAGUAACUCAGUCUUUAGACAAGAUUAUAAACUAAAUAGAAACGUAUUUGAGCUGAGUAGCUCAAUGUGCUGACCAUGCAGAAAAGAGUCUUUGCCACCUGCAGGCUCUUGUUCCUUCUAGCUUUCUAAAUUGUUCCUCCACACUUUCUAAAUGAAGGGUAUUCUGAAGGUUCUCUCCUGGCCAGCAUGCAUGAGGCAGGUCAGUGGCCACAGUCCAACACCUUGAAAACUGGUCCUACCUCUUAGAAACACCUUCACAGCCAACGUCUCCGGGAAUCCUUGUUCAGAUCAGCAGUGCAGCAAAUGAAGAGUAGUAGUGGAAAUUAAGUGGUCCUUUAAAGACCAAAAUGCUCCCCUUCAAAUCUUCUGGGUCAAGUUAUCUUGCUUAGGUAGAUGUGGAUGGUUCCUACUUGGUUUUGCUUGUUAUUAUUAUAUCUCUGUCCUGCAGGUGCUGCAUUGCUUCCACUGGGUCCAUGUGCACUUAUUUGUGGGGCUCUGGAAGCAAGCCUGGAUUAUGGCAGUGUGCUUUCAGUGGUGUAACUGGCAAGCUGAAACUGAGGCACUCUGCAGGGGGUUUCAGUACUGCUUUGUGGCAAUACACAGAUUUGUUGCCGGCUCAUUGGGCUUACAGCUUUUUGUUCAUAAGAUUUGAGCCCACCUGCCAUGGAGAUAUCAUUUGUGUUUGCUUUGUGAUUUUUUUUUUUUUCCCCCCCUGGUGUUUUUAUUAUUAUUAU